GGCCAUUCCAUGCUGAAAGCAUCGAUUCUCGUCCGAUCACCAAAGUUAAGCAUUAUCGGACGCGGUUAGAGUUUGUGAGGGUGAUCACCUGGGAAUCACCGUGU
Non-coding RNA from Trichonephila inaurata madagascariensis, 104 nucleotides. The record is from the annotation of a GenBank genome assembly. NCBI's taxonomy places the organism in Eukaryota, Metazoa, Arthropoda, Arachnida, Araneae, Nephilidae.